AGUGAACGCUGGCGGUAGGCCUAACACAUGCAAGUCGAACGGCAGCACAGUAAGAGCUUGCUCUUACGGGUGGCGAGUGGCGGACGGGUGAGGAAUACAUCGGAAUCUACUUUUUCGUGGGGGAUAACGUAGGGAAACUUACUCUAAUACCGCAUACGACCUACGGGUGAAAGCAGUGGAUCUUCUGACCUUGCGCGAUUGAAUGAGCCGAUGUCGGAUUAGCUAGUUGGCGGGGUAAAGGCCCACCAAGGCGACGAUCCGUAGCUGGUCUGAGAGGAUGAUCAGCCACACUGGAGCUGAGACACGGUACAGGCUCCUACGGGAGGCAGCAGUGGGGAAUAUUGGACGAUGGGCGCAAGACUGAUCCAGCCAUGCCGCGUGGAUGAAGAAGGCCUUCGGGUUGUAAAGCGCUUUUGUUGGGAAAGAAAAGCAGCAGGUUAAUACCACGCUGUUCUGACGGUACCCGAAGAAUAAGAACCGGCUAACUUCGU
This 491-nucleotide ribosomal RNA is filed under the name uncultured bacterium. Its description in RNAcentral is "partial 16S ribosomal RNA". It matches the Rfam family "Bacterial small subunit ribosomal RNA", at positions 29 to 506 of the family's 1533-position model. The record is from RNAcentral.